ACUGCUCAGUAACACGUGGACAACGUAUCCUCAGGACUGGCAUAAACCUGGGAAACUGGGUAUAAUGCCGGAUAGGUCUCGGAUGCUGGAAUGCUCCGAGCUCCAAAGCUCCGACGCCUGAGGAUGGGUCUGCGACCUAUCAGGGUAGUAGUGGGUGUAAAGUACAGCUAGCCUACGACGGGUACGGAUUGUGAGAGCAAGAGCCCGGAGAUGGAUUCUGAGACACGAAUGCAGGCCCUACGGAGUGCACCAGGCGCGAAAACUUUACAAUGCUGGAAACAGCGAUAGGGGGACCUUUAGUGCCAGGAUACAAUUCUGGCUGUCGUCGUCCUAAAAAGCACGGCAUAGCAAGGGCCGGGCAAGACCGGUGCCAGCCGCCUCGGUAACACCGGCGGCUCGAGUGGUAACCGCUAUUAUUGGGUGUAAAGGGUCGGUAGCCGGCUGAAAAAGUCUCUUGGGAAAUCCGGCAGCUCAACUGUCGGGCUUUCAGGAGAUACUGUCUGCCUCGAGUCCGGGAGAGGUGAGAGGUACUUCAGGGGUAGGGGCGAAAUCUUGUAAUCCUUGAAGGACCACCAGUGGCGAAGGCGUCUCCCCAGAACGGACCUGACGGCAAGGGACGAAAGCUAGGGGCACGAACCGGAUUAGAUACCCGGGUAGUCCUAGCCGUAACCGAUACUCGCUAGGUGUCGUCCGCGGUGCGACCGUGGUCGGUGCCGUAGGGAAGCCGUGAAGCGAGCCACCUGGGAAGUACGGCCGCAAGGCUGAAACUUAAAGGAAUUGGCGGGGGAGCA
Molecule: ribosomal RNA, 791 nt
Filed under: uncultured archaeon
Lineage: Archaea
Description: bacterial SSU rRNA
Rfam family: Archaeal small subunit ribosomal RNA
Source: RNAcentral